UGGGAAGUAUUGCGCAAUGGGCGAAAGCCUGACGCAGCGACGCCGCGUGAGGGAUGAAGGUCCUCGGAUCGUAAACCUCUGUCAGGGGGGAAGAAGCGCCUGUGAGCAAAUAGUUCAUGGGUUUGACGGUACCCAGCCAAGGAGCACCGGCUAACUCCGUGCCAGCAGCCGCGGUAAUACGGAGGGUGCGAGCGUUAAUCGGAAUCACUGGGCGUAAAGCGCACGUAGGUGGCGUGGUAAGUCGGGGUGGAAUCCAACCAGCUCAACUGUGGAACUGCCUUCGAUACUGUCAUGCUUGAGUAUCGGAGAGGGUGGCGGAAUUCCAGGUGUAGGAGUGAAAUCCGUAGAUAUCUGGAAGAACACCGGUGGCGAAGGCGGCCACCUGGACGAAAACUGACGCUGAGGUGCGAAAGCGUGGGGUAGCAAACAGGAUUAGAUACC
This 441-nucleotide ribosomal RNA is filed under the name uncultured bacterium. Its description in RNAcentral is "bacterial SSU rRNA". It matches the Rfam family "Bacterial small subunit ribosomal RNA", at positions 355 to 786 of the family's 1533-position model. The record is from RNAcentral.